RNAcentral lists this ribosomal RNA (206 nucleotides) under uncultured bacterium. RNAcentral's name for it is "partial 16S ribosomal RNA". It matches the Rfam family "Bacterial small subunit ribosomal RNA", at positions 568 to 774 of the family's 1533-position model. The record is from RNAcentral.
CGUGUAGGCGGUCCGGUAAGUCCGCUGUGAAAGUCGGGGGCUCAACCCUCGAAUGCCGGUGGAUACUGUCGGGCUUGAGUACGGAAGAGGCGAGUGGAAUUCCUGGUGUAGCGGUGAAAUGCGCAGAUAUCAGGAGGAACACCAAUUGCGAAGGCAGCUCGCUGGGACGUUACUGACGCUGAGACGCGAAAGCGUGGGAGCAAACA